RNAcentral lists this long non-coding RNA (4038 nucleotides) under Homo sapiens (human). RNAcentral's name for it is "HSALNT0334470". The record is from RNAcentral. Lineage: Eukaryota; Metazoa; Chordata; Mammalia; Primates; Hominidae.
CUGCAUCUCUUAGGGAAGGAAGUUUUGGACUCUGGAAGAAGAUCCUCUACAUUCUCAUUUUAAAACUGUACUAUCUCUCAUAUUACGGGUGAAUUCUCAACAGGAAAGUUAUUUGUGGUAGCAGGUUGUGUUUUCCAAAGAUGGUCAUAAUGUUUCCCACCCCACAUACUCUCCUGUAACCUUGACAAUGUUCCAUUAAGGAGUGUUCCCUCUGUGUUCUCUCCCUUCAAUCCUGGGCAGGCUUUAAUGAUUGUCUUGACAAAUAUAGUACAGGUUGUUGUGUAUCGCUAAUCCCAAAAUAUCCAAAAUCCAAAACACUUCUGGCCCCAAGCAUUUUGGAUAAGGGAUCCUCAACCUAUGUGGUGGAAGUAAGCAGUGUGACUUCUGAAUUAGGUAACAAAUAUGCUAUGCGCUUCUACUUUGCUCUUGCAGAAUGCUCAUGCUUGGAACCCUAUGUCCAAGUUGUAAGGAAGCCCAAGCAGCCCAUAAAGAGGCCCACGUUAAGAAGAACCAGGACCCACAGUCUAAGUGAACUCUCAGCUAAUAGCACCAUUUUGCCAACCAUGAGUCAAACUGGCAGCUUCAAGGACCUUGGCUGAAAUUGGUCCAUUUGGAUAUGUGUGCUUGUUUCUGCAAUGUCCUGAAUGACUGUGGGAAAGGGCUUCACAAGGCUUCAUAAGACACCUGGAUCUCAUAUCUGCUUCUGCAUUCAAUCUGUUGCACCAAGUUGUUUUGACUGAAGGGUAUGAAGAAAAACUGGCCUCAUCCAAAUAUGCGGUUGGAAAAGGGUGGAGUAUUUUAACAGCCCUUCAAAUAAUUGUGAGUAUUCUUCAUUGAUAUCUCAUCAAAACUCAAUAAGUAGUAGUUUCUUAAAGUGUACUGCAUAAUCACAUAACAUUUUAUAUGAUUUUAUUAAGAUCCAUUUAUCUAUUUUUCACUUUGAAUAAAUUUUAACCCAUGCAAUGAUUUCAUAAUAGUGUACAUUAAUCAUUUAGACAAUAUUGGUUCCCUGAGUUAUAUAACUUUUCCAACUUGACCAAUUUCAAUACAGUGUUAAAAAUCACAUUCAUUAAUACUAUAGUUUGGUGCAAAAGUAAUUGUGAUUUUUGCCAUUACUUUUAAUCUAUCUACCAUCUAUCUUAUUCAAAAGCUGUGGAAUUCACAUUGGUGGAUACAAGUUUUCCAAAAUUUUAAUUUUUGCUUGAAAGCUCAUUCUUUAUUAUUGGGCAACACACACUUUCAGUUAUUUUUCUUAUAGUAGCAGAUUCAUUUCAUUCAUUUUUGAGAAACUGUCUGCCAAAUACCAAAGUGUCCAUAACUAUACUUUGCCUGUCAGUUGUUUCUUCAAGUAAAAAUGGUGUUCCAUGAGAAAAGUACCAAGGGCAGCUUAGGACAGCUUAGAAUGUUUCCUCCAGUCAAACAUUGUAUUUCUGGAUGUCACAGAAGUGCUUCUCAUGUGUACUUUCCAUUUUUUUACUCAGAAUAUUACAAAGGUAUGUGCUUAAGGUUAAAGGGUUAAAAAAAUGAAUAAAACUUACUGCCUUAUCAAGGACAUUUCUAAGUAAAAUUGGCAUUUUCUUUUUCUGCUUUUUUUCUUUUUUCUUUUUUUAACUGUGAGUGUGUGGCUGUGAUGAAUAGAAAUACAGUCAUGCACUGCAUAAUGAAGUUUUGGUCAACAAUGGACUGCAUAUCUGACUGUGGUCCCACAAGAUUAUAAUACCAUAUUUUUACCAUACCUUUUCUAUGAUUAGAUAUAUUGAGAUAUACAAAUACUUAUGUGUAAAAAUUGCCUACCGAAUUCAGUAUAGUAAUAUGCUGUACAGGUUUGUAGCCUAGGAACAAUAGGCUGUACCAUAGAGCUUGGAUGUGUAGUACGCUAUACCAUCUAGAUUUGUGUAAAUACACUCUAUCAUGUUCACACAACGAAAUCACCUAAGGACACAUUUCUCAGAACAUCUUCCUGAGGUUAAGCGACACAUGACUGUACUGCUAGCACAAUUUGGUGGCACUGCACUGAUUCAUGCUAAAGUACCAGCAGUUUUAACUACCAUUGCUUUUGCACCAUGGGUAUAAAUGUCAACACAAUUUAAAAGGUAAAUGAUACCUUUGUAUUACUAUGAAAAUAGUUUUGACAACAUAGGAACUGGUAUUGGGAUCCCUCAUGAGUCUAUAAACCACACACUGAACACUGCUGUACAACAGGAUCUCAGAAGUAAGGAUCCAGUUGGCUUGGGGAAAGACAGGAGGUCUAGUGAGACCCUUAAGGGUACAACAUAAUGGUCAGAAAAGAGCUGCCCUUCAAGGAAGUGUGAUAAUACUGGUAUUGAAUGCUGCAGGAAGGUCAAAUAGGGUGAAGAUGGAGAUGACACCACUGGAUUUGACAAAUGGGCUGAUGCUGAUGACCUUACUGAGAGAGCUGUUUGAACAGAUGUGUAAUAGAUUAAUUACAGAUGGAGGAGUGAAGGGCAGAGAAAAAGCUGGAAAAAGAGUUUGGCAAUGAAAACCAGGGAGCUGGGCUAACUAUGUGGGCAGUCACGGUCACAAGCAGAUUUUUGGUAGUGUGGGGAAACACUUAUUGGCUGAAGAAAUGAAACUAACAAAGAGGGAGAGAGAAGAGAUAGUAAGGAUAUGUUGAAGUCUGAACCCCAGGACCUCAGAACAUGACCUUGUUUGGAAAUAGGGUCAUCAAAGAUGUAAUUAGUUAAAAAGAUGUCAUACUGAAGUGGUAUGGGACCCUAAUCUAAGUUGACUAGUGUCCUUAUAAGAAAGCCAUGUGAAGACAGAGAAACAUAGGGAGAGUGUCCUGUGAAGACAGUGAAGUGGCACCUCUGCAAGCCAAGGAAUGCUAAAUAUUGCUAGCAAACCACCAGAAGCUAGGAAGAAGCAAAAAAGGAUUCUCCUAUGGGAUCCAGAGGUAUCACCGCACUGCUGACACCUUGGCUUUGGACUUUAGCCUUCAGAAUUGUAUGGUAAUAAAUUUUUAUUGUUUUAAGCCACUCAGUUUGUGGCACUUGGUUACAACAGCCCCAGGAAACAAAUAUAGGCAGCCUUGCAGACCUACAGAACCAGAUGACUCUGGGAAGAAUACAGAGCACCUAAUAUAAUUACACCAUUUCCCCCCAGGAGAGGAGGAAGUGGAUAUUUGGGUCAUUCCAAGGUGAUGAGUACAAGACAGGUGUGUGUGUGUGUAUGUGUGUGUGUGUUGAGGGAUAGGAGAAGAAACAUGAAGGAAUAACUUGAAAGGCUUGGCAAGUAGGCAAUGAGAUGCCCGACUAUGAGAGGUUGUGAGGAAAGAAGAGAAACCAGGAGUAUCACAUUCAACUGAAAGAAUGGGAAGAUGUGAGACUUCAAGGUUCUGGAUGAGUUAGAAAAAUAAGUUUUGUAGGAAUGACAUAGUGGGAAAAGUAGAAGACAAAAAAAUUGUAAACCCAAAAGAUAAUUUUGUAAGUUUAAGGUUUCAGAAGGUUUUCAGUGUCAGAUGCCCUUAGGGUCAACAUGAGGCACAUGAAUGGAAUUGUGAUGGAUGACAGGGUGAGGAUGAUGGGAAUAGAGGCUAAAGAAUAGCGAGGUAAGAGGAUUGCACGGUGACCACCGACUCAGGAGGACAACAGGAAACAGAGUUGAGGGACAACCAUGAGCCAGAUAAGCUGCGUGAGAAACAGGAGGAGUGACCUGGAGAGCCGCAGGGUAUGGCAGCAUAGACAGGAAGAAAAGAGUUCAACUGGAGGGCAGGGGCUUCACAGAGAUCAUCUAUAAAAAGGGAUGGAACAACAGUCUAGAAGCAUAGGAGGAAGCCAGAGAAUUCUAAGCCUAAUAUUCUGGGCUUCAGAGGUAGGGAACUGGAGAAUAAUCUGCCUAGCAAUGUGUAAUUGCGAGGGAAUAAGCAUUGCUCAGAGCAAUUAAAGACUUGGUAAGGAGAGGAUAUGGAGUGAUUAUUGUAGAGCACAAAUGGUACUCUGAGAAAAUCAAUAAUGGACUCUAGAGAAGAAAGUGGGAGAGGUUAGAAUAGGGGUUGGAGGCUGGGCACGGUAGCUCACG